RNAcentral lists this non-coding RNA (31 nucleotides) under Mus musculus (house mouse). RNAcentral also lists the same sequence under 1 other name. Lineage: Eukaryota; Metazoa; Chordata; Mammalia; Rodentia; Muridae. The record is from RNAcentral.
UGAGGCUCGUCUUUCUGGUCUUCUGCCAAUU